RNAcentral lists this ribosomal RNA (305 nucleotides) under uncultured bacterium. RNAcentral's name for it is "bacterial SSU rRNA". It matches the Rfam family "Bacterial small subunit ribosomal RNA", at positions 335 to 657 of the family's 1533-position model. The record is from RNAcentral.
GGGCCUACGGGAGGCAGCAGUGGGGGAUAUUGCACAAUGGGGGGAACCCUGAUGCAGCGACGCCGCGUGGGUGAAGAAGCGCCUCGGCGCGUAAAACCCUGUCAGCAGGGAAGAAAAUGACGGUACCUGAAGAAGAAGCCCCGGCUAACUACGUGCCAGCAGCCGCGGUAAUACGUAGGGGGCAAGCGUUAUCCGGAUUUACUGGGUGUAAAGGGGGCGCAGACGGCGAUGCAAGCCAGGAGUGAAGGCCCGGGGCCCAACCCCGGGACUGCUCUUGGAACUGCGCGGCUAGAGUGCAGGAGGGG